GGACGGGGCCCGCACAAGCGGUGGAGCAUGUGGUUUAAUUCGACGCAGCGCGAAGAACCUUACCAGGGCUUGACAUCCCCUGACCGCGUAUGAAAGUACGUUUUCACCCUCGGGUGACAGGGAGACAGGUGGUGCAUGGUUGUCGUCAGCUCGUGUCGUGAGAUGUUGGGUUAAGUCCCGCAACGAGCGCAACCCCUACGUUUAGUUGCUAACGCGUGAAGGCGAGCACUCUAGACGAACUGCCGUUGGCAAAACGGAGGAAGGCGGGAUGACGUCAAAUCAUCAUGCCCCUUAUGUUCUGGGCUACACACGUGCUACAAUGGCCGGUACAGACGGACGCAAAGCCGCGAGGUGGAGCAAAUCCUAAAAAGCCGGUCUCAGUUCGGAUUGCAGGCUGCAAUUCGCCUGCAUGAAGUCGGAAUCGCUAGUAAUCGCAGGUCAGCAUACUGCGGUGAAUACGUUCCCGGGCCUU
RNAcentral lists this ribosomal RNA (472 nucleotides) under uncultured Bacillus sp. Its description in RNAcentral is "bacterial SSU rRNA". It matches the Rfam family "Bacterial small subunit ribosomal RNA", at positions 916 to 1381 of the family's 1533-position model. The record is from RNAcentral. Lineage: Bacteria; Bacillati; Bacillota; Bacilli; Caryophanales; Bacillaceae.